This 1245-nucleotide long non-coding RNA is filed under the name Pan troglodytes (chimpanzee). RNAcentral describes it as "lincRNA". Lineage: Eukaryota; Metazoa; Chordata; Mammalia; Primates; Hominidae. The record is from RNAcentral.
UUAUGGCCGCUGGGGAGUUGGGAGAGCCAGGCUGGGGCUUCGGCAGGCCCAGGGAAAGUUCCCUUUCUAGGCUCUUUAUUAAAAAAUUUAAAAGGAGGAGUCGAGGCGCCUUGAAUUUUCCUUCGCGAGUUUGGAGACUAGCCGAUUUUUCAUGAAGCAAGCAAAGACCGCGGUCCCGGAUCCUGCAACAUCUACCUCAUUCUCUCCAGGCCUCUCCACUUGCCCGAGCUCUCAGCCACCAGGAGACAGAAGGAAGGGACUUCUGGGCUGCGUUGGGAGCGGGCACUGUCCCCUAUCCACUCCUGCUCGGUUUCCCAAAGUCCAGCGACAUCCGACCCUCCUGGGGGGAAAAAUACCAAUACCCAGACACCUCUGCACCCUGUUAUAUGACUGGGCUUGCUUCAGGAAUAUCUUACAAAGAAGAAGAAGAAGAAGAAAGAACGGCUUGGAGUCAUGUUUACAUCUAGUUCUACUGAUCGGUUCCCAUCUGGAGAGUUUAUUUAUAACUCCCUCUAUAACUCUCUGUUUGGAGGCACUGGUGGCUCUAUUGACAGACUGAUGUCUAGGAAAUAUUGCUCUAUGUCUAACCGUACCUAAAUGUGCUGUGGUUGUAUUUACAGAUUUAUGUUUGAAGGAAAUAUAAUUAUUUCCAUUGUAUUUGUGCAUAUACAGUAGUUAUAGGAGCAGAUUUAUAUAUGGGAAAAUAUACGACUCUCUUACAGCCAUCCGGCUUUAUGUACAUGUGAUAUCCUGACAGAUUUAUAUCUCUGAACAGCUAUAUAGAUAAAAACGUAUAUUGUUAGAAUUAUGUAUCAGGAGAUAUAUACUUAUUGAUUGUGAAAUAGAGUAGUUAGAGCAUUCACUUAGAGCCAUAUAUGGCUAUGGAGAUAUUUCUAUAUUAUUAUCACUAUAUAUAGGCAUAUCUAUUUAUAACUACCUAGUUAUAAAAACAGACAUAAAUAAUUAUAGUCCUAUAUGUGCAUGCUGCAAUCUCUCUCUAGAGUUAUAGACACUUUCAAAUAUAACUCUAUAGAGAGAUCUGUAUGUAUAUAAGGUGUAAUUAUCUUGUGAUGUUUUUACGUUGGGACUUAGGCCCGUCUGUCUAGAACAGACAUAUUUAUAUAUAGGGGCUGGGAGAGACUUGUUCACAGAUAUCUGCAGAGGGCCAACUGGAAACACUGUAUCUGCCCUCUAGGAAACCAGCUAGGAGAGUUGUGUACUUAUGGAGGGAUGGAGUUACAAAAG